This 223-nucleotide unclassified non-coding RNA is filed under the name Hevea brasiliensis (rubber tree). Lineage: Eukaryota; Viridiplantae; Streptophyta; Magnoliopsida; Malpighiales; Euphorbiaceae. The record is from RNAcentral.
GAGAAACUAUCGUCGAUUUUUUGUCCUCAUGAUCUCCGCACUUCUCUUGCUUAUCUUACAAUGGUCGAUUGGAGUGCUAGUGUUGAUUCUCUGCUUCAUCGAGCGGAAACAUUUCUCUGUAGAGAUCACCUCAAAGCUGGGCAGCAGCUUCUCUUUGGCGCCUUUUGUUGUUGUGGUGGCUUCAUGCACCUUCUUAGCGAUCAUUGCAACUCUACCGCUUGCU